GACGAACGCUGGCGGCGUGCCUAAUACAUGCAAGUUGAGCGCUGAAGGUUGGUACUUGUACCAACUGGAUGAGCAGCGAACGGGUGAGUAACGCGUGGGGAAUCUGCCUUUGAGCGGGGGACAACAUGUGGAAACGAAUGCUAAUACCGCAUAAAAACUUUAAACACAAGUUUUAAGUUUGAAAGAUGCAAUUGCAUCACUCAAAGAUGAUCCCGCGUUGUAUUAGCUAGGUGGUGAGGUAAAGGCUCACCAAGGCGAUGAUAUAUAGCCGACCUGAGAGGGUGAUUGGCCAGCUUGGGACGGAGACACGGCCCAAACGGCUACGGGAGGCAGCAGGAGGGAUUCUUCGGCCAUCGACGAAAGUCUGACCGCGCAACGCCGCGUGAGGGAAGAAGGUUGUCGGAUCGUAAAACUCGGUUGGUAGAGAAGAACGUUGGUGAGAGUGGAAAGCUCAUCAAGUGACGGUAACUACUCAGAAAGGGACGGCUAACUACGUG
Molecule: ribosomal RNA, 497 nt
Filed under: uncultured bacterium
Lineage: Bacteria
Description: partial 16S ribosomal RNA
Rfam family: Bacterial small subunit ribosomal RNA
Source: RNAcentral